RNAcentral lists this ribosomal RNA (433 nucleotides) under uncultured bacterium. Its description in RNAcentral is "partial 16S ribosomal RNA". It matches the Rfam family "Bacterial small subunit ribosomal RNA", at positions 29 to 507 of the family's 1533-position model. The record is from RNAcentral.
AGCGAACGCUGGCGGCAGGCUUAACACAUGCCAGUCGAGCGGGCCCUUCGGGUUCAGCGGCGGACGGGUGCGUAACGCGUGGGAACGUGCCUUCUGGUCUGGAAUAACCCUGGGAAACUAGGGCUAAUACCGGAUACGCCCUUUUGGGGAAAGGCUUACUGCCGGAAGAUCGGCCCGCGUCUGAUUAGCUAGUUGGUGGGGUAACGGCCUACCAAGGCGACGAUCAGUAGCUGGUCUGAGAGGAUGAUCAGCCACACUGGGACUGAGACACGGCCCAGACUCCUACGGGAGGCAGCAGUGGGGAAUAUUGGACAAUGGGCGCAAGCCUGAUCCAGCCAUGCCGCGUGAGUGAUGAAGGCCUUAGGGUUGUAAAGCUCUUUUAUCCGGGACGAUAAUGACGGUACCGGAGGAAUAAGCCCCGGCUAACUUCGUG